CAUAUUAUGGAAAUAAAUAAAUUCCAAUGUUAUUAUAUUCGACUAUUUGUGUAUUCUCUUUCUCUCUAUAUAUGUGACAAAGAAAGUUUUGCUUGUGUCAUCAGAAAAAAAUAGUUCAAUAUUCUUGUCAUCAAGAAAAUUUUCUUGAGCUCUUCUUUCCGAUCAUCAAAAUGCCUGGAAUCGCUUUCGGAAGAUUUGACGAUUCAUUUACCAUUGGCUCAUGAAGGCCUAUGUGGCUGAAUUCAUAUCCACCUUGCUCUUCGUCUUCACCUAAUUGGGCUCCACCAUUGCUUAUAGUUAGUACUAAAACCACUCUCUUAUUUUUCACAGCCUAUAUUUGCGUGCAUGAAAACUAUAGUAAGUGCGAUAUAUAAUAUGCUGAUAUUUAGUAACAUUUUGAUAGUUGAUAGAUAAGUUGGCGGCGGACGCGGCCCUUGAUCCAGCAGGGUUGGUGGCGUUGCUGUUUGCCAUGGUUUCGCCCUGUUUGUAGCUGUCUCGGUCGGAACCAACAUCUCCGACGGCCAUGUAAACCCUGCAGUCACCUUUGGUUUGGCUCUUGACAGCCAAAUUACACUUCUUAAUGGCAUUUUUUUUAUUGGAUUGCUCAACUUUUGGCUCCAUUGUGGCAUGCUUUUUGCUUGUAGUUGUCACCGGAGGAUUGGUAAGUUCAAUUGUAAUUGAAAAUGCAAAAUUUACAUGUUUAGUAAGUUAGAUUGGCCACUGUUUCUAAUAGUCAAGUCUUGAUCUUUGUCGUCAAACUGGCUGAAAAGCCCAAACACGAUAUUAAACACAAGAUGCUAAGGAUCGAUUUAUAGCAGAGAUCAAAACUUGAAGAAAAAAAAAACUGAACACCGAGGAAUUUUUUGGUCAAAGCCUCGGAGGUUCAGUAACCAUUUUAAUACCUAGUCCCCUGUUGAGCAUCCAUUCAAGAACGGAUAUUGCUCGGUUGCACUAUAAUGCCUUAAACUGGCAACGAAGGAUACAAACGUUUAGCCAAUACAAGAAUACAAUAUAAGAGACUUAUCUCUUCACAAAGAACCAACAAAUCUGGCUCGAAUCACACAAGAAACUGCAGAUCUGACUUCACGAACCCAAAACACUAGUUCUCACAAUUAUUACAGAUUUCACACAAGAAAUCACAUGUAUUCAAGACUAAACUCUCAAAAAUAUCAUUUCGAAUGAGAGGUUCAAAAUAAUGGCGAAUCAGAAAACCCUAGCCACUCACAGAAGAUGAACCCUCUCGAAAAUGAAAAGCCAGAAGAAAUAUCUCAAGCCAAACAAAUCGUCUAAGGGUAAUUAUAUCACCAAGACCAAUUGACUCAUCCAACGGUUCAUGAUGUGCCAAGUGUCAGCAUCCAGUGUAAAGAUCACUUUAUAAAAUUGCAUUUACAUAAAACUUCUUUAGCUAAAAAUUAUGGGAGCACAAAAAAUCGGGUUCAAGUCACAACAAUCUCCACUUUGCUACCAUAGUUUUCAGGUCAUAGUGUAGCCCGGAGCAUAUCACAUUCUCUUGUUUCAUACGCUCCAAAAGUACUUGUUAAAAAAAUUACAAUGUAUAAAUAGAUAAUGUCUUUAGACAGUUUUUAAACUUGUUUAAAGGUAUUAUCUUGGUCCACAUAUCAGAAGGAUUAACCUGAGUAGCAACCUUCCCAAUUUUCAAAAUUCCUUAUGAAAUUAUAUCCCUUAUAAAAUGAUAUUUGACAUUUAUGUGUUUAGUUCUAUCAUGAUACCUAGGGUUUUUAAUUAGAUGUAUGGCACUUUGGUUAUCUGAAUAUAAAGUUACAUUUUCAUCAACAAAACCAAGUUCCUUUAGUAAUCCACUUAGCCAAAUUCCUUCUUUAAAGGCAUUAGAAGCAACAAUAUAUUCAGCUUCAAUAGAUGAUAAAGUUACAAUCUUUUGAAGUUGAGAUUUCCAACCAAUCACAGUACCACAUAAGGUAAAGAAAUAUGAUGAAGUUGAUUUCAUAUUAUCACUAUUUCCAGCAAAAUCUAAAUCAGUAAAUCCCUUUAAAGUUACCCUUUCUUUAUUCAACUUAAACAUGAGACCAUAGUUAGAUGUCUCUUUCAAGUAUCUUAAAAGCCAUUUCAAAGCAUUCCAAUGUUCUUCCCCAGGAUUAGUCAUAAAUUUGCUAAGUAUACUAAUACUGAAAGGAAGAUCAGGUCUUGUGCAUACCUUCAAAUACAUCACAUAUCCAAUCACAUUAGCAUAAGGUACAGUCAACAUUCUAUCAUAUUCUUCAACAGUUUUAGGGCAGAAAUAAGAAUAAAGCUUGAAAUGAUUUGUUAAAGGUAAAGUAACAAAUUUACAAUCAAGCAUAUUAAACCUUCUUAAAAUUUUAUUCACAUAAUCAUGUUGGUUUAAGAACAAUAUAUCUUUUUCUUUAUCUCUGAAAAUCUGCAUACCAAGAAUUUUUUUGAUAGCUCGUAAAUCCAUCAUAUCAAAUUUAGAUUUAAGUUUCUGUUUAAUAAACUCAAUCUCAGAUUUAUCACAACUGACAAGUAACAUAUCAUCUACAUAAAGUACUAAGUAUAAAGAGUUUUUACCUCCAUUACCUUUGCAGUAUAGGCAUAUGUCAUAGUUGCUUCUUUGAAAGCCAAGUUUUAGUACAAAGCUGUCAAAUCUUUUGUACCAUUGCAUUGGGGCUUGUUUUAAACCAUACAAAGAUUUCUUUAAAAGGUAUACAACUUUUUCAGAAUCACCUUUUAUAAAGCCAACAAAUUGUUUCAUAUAAAUUUUUCCAUCUAAUUCACCAUACAAGAAGGCAAAUUUAACAUCUAACUGAUCCAGUUCCCAUUUAAACUGAACAACAGCGGCAAGAAUUCAUCUGAUUGUGGUGUACUUAACAAUAGGGAAAAGAUUUCAUUGUAAUCUACUCCAUCUUUCUAUGUAAAACCCUUAGCAACUGAUCUUGCUUUAUAUCUCACACAUUUGUUUCCUCCCUCUCCUUCUUUUAUCUUGCAAAUCCAUUUACAAUCGAUCAAAUUUUGAUUCUUAGGUCUCUUUACCAAUUCCCAAGUAAGAAGAGAUGACAUUUCAUCAUUCAUUGCUACUAUCCAAUUUUUAGCAUCUUUGCAAUUAAUGGCAUCAUCAUAGGAGUUUGGUUCAUUUUCAAAUUGUUCUUGAUAGGUAAAUAGUGAAACAAAAUCAUCACAAUCAAAUCUAGCAGGUAUUCUAAUUUUCCUUCUCUCCCUAUCUCUAGUUAACUGAUAUUCAUUUAAGGGAGGGUUUGCAAAAUCAGUUUAUUCAUCUGUAUCAGAUGAUUGAUUGUUUUCAGUUUCAGCAGUAAUGCUAUUUUCAUUUUGAUCAAGUUCAGUUAAGGUAGCAACAUGAGAAUAAGUUUCACUAUGAAAUUUCUCCACCUCAAUCUGAACAUCUUUUUUAGUCAGAUUAUUCUCCUUUCCUUCUAAACAUGGCAUAAUAGAUUCAUUGAAAACUACAUCUCUUCUAAUAAUUACUUUAUAGCCAUUUUCUUUGCAAAGCCAUAAUCUAUACCCUUUUACAUUUUCACCAAAGCCUAGAAAAAUACACUUAAGUGAUCUAGGUUCUAACUUUCCAAUAUUCUGAUGGGCAUAGGCAGCACAUCUAAAAAAUUUUAAAUGUGAAUAAUCAACAGGAUUUCUAGACCAAACGGAUUCAAGAAUAUCAUAAUUCAGAGCACUUGUUGGAGUUCUAUUAACUAAAUAUGCAACAGUUUUUACUGCUUCACCCCAAAAUAGUUUUGGUAGACCAGAACUCAAAAGCAUACAUCUCACUUUAUUCAUUAAGGUUCUAUUCAUCCUUUCAGCUAUAUCAUUUUGUUGAGGGGUAUAAGUAACUAUUCUAUGUCUUACUAUUCCACAUUCUUUGCAAAAAUUAUUGAAUUCAUAAUUGCAAAAUUGCAAACCAUUGUUUGUUCUCAGGAUCUUUAUUUUGUUAUCAGUUUGAUUUUCAAUUUGAAUUUUCCAUUCCCUGAAAAUAGAAAAAAGUUUCAUCUUUUGAUUUUAACAAGAAAAUCCAAAUUUUCCUUGAAUAAUCAUCAAUAAUUAAAAGAUAAUAUUUAAAAUCAGACAAGGUAGUAGCUGAAGUUGGGCCCCACAAAUCAGCAUGCAAAUAUUCAAGUAUUUGUUUAGACUUAUGAAUUCCAGGUAAGAAAGGAAGUUUAACUUGUUUUCCUAUCACACAUUUUUCACAAAUGCCAAUUUCACCAAGAUUUUGAUUUCCAAAAACUUCUUUGUUUUGUAAAGCUUUUAAACUUUUCUUGCCAAUAUGGCCUAACCUUUCAUGCCACAGCUUUGCAAAGGUAAAGUUAUCAGUUAAAGCAGCAACAGUCAAACCCAGUAAAUGUUUUGCUUCAAGAAAAUAGAGACCAUGUCUCUUAGGGGCACUAAUGACCAAGUCAUUUCCCCUAAGAAUUUUCAUACGUCCUUGACCCAUUUUAAUGUCAAACUCUAUAUCAUCAAGCAUUCCUAGAGACACCAGAUUUCUUUCUAAGUCUGGAACAUACCUUGUUCCUUUCAAAUUUAGGACAUUUCCAUCUUCUAACAAUAGUUUUAUGGUUCCUAUUCCACUUAUUUUACAAGUCAUAUUAUUUCCCAUUAUAACCUACCCACCAGUUGUCUUUUCAAAGUCAAGAAAACUAUUCUUGUUUGGGCACAUGUGGAAGGAACACCUAAAGUCAAGGAUCCAUUCAUUAUUUAGCUUCUUUUCAACAUUAACAAGGACCAAUCCAUCUUCAAUUUUAUCCUUAUUGAAUACUAAGGCAGCAUUCCUACCCUCAAGUUUCUUUUCUUUCAGCUCAUUUUUGUUUUUAUAACAAUCUUUAAUAAAAUGACCAUGUUUCCCACGGUAAAAACAUUUUUUUCCCUUUUGCUUUAUUCUUGGAUUUGGUGUUUUUCAUUUCGUUUGUUUCUAUUCUCAUUAAGGUUCUUAGAGUGAUAGGUUAGUUUAUUGAACCCCUUUCCUUUUGCCAUAAGGGUAUCACCACUGUGUUUAUCCUUAGUUUCAGAUUUAAUUUCCAAUGCUUUAGUUCUUAAGGCAUUUAUAAUCACAUCAGUAGUAAGUUCACCCCUUCCAUAUUCAAGAGCAAUAUUAAUGUCUCUAUAUCUGUCACUAAUGGAGUUUAACAGAACUACAGCCAACUGAUCUUUUGAAAAAUUUUCAUCACAGUUGGUUAAGUCUUGGGUCAACUUUCUAAACUUAUUCAAGUUAUCAUCUAAAUCAAUUGAAGGGUCUAUUUUAAAAGAAAAGAGUUGUUUUAACAAAUAGCAUUUAUUUGGGAUAGUCUUAGUAACAUACUGGAUUUCAAGUUUGGUCCAAAGUUCAGAAGUAGUUUUGGUUUCACCAAUGGUUUGUAUCACAUUAUCAGAAAGAUACAAGAAAAUGGUACUCCAGGCAACUUCUUCAAGUUCAGUUUUCCUAAUAGGAUUCAUAUCUUGAGGCCAACUAUCAUCUAAUGCCUUAGCACAUCUCAUUUGCAUAAGUAUGGCUUUCAUCUUUUGACUCCACAUAUUAAAAUCACCUUUUCCAUCAAAUUGAGCAACUUCAAACUUAGCAAUAGCCAUAUCAAUAUAACACAGAGUGCUCAGAUAUGAAUCAAGAAUACAAGGAACAAUUAAUUUCAAGUUUUUGUGUAAUAACAAUACAACAGUGUCACAAGUUUUAACACAGAAGGACAAGAAGUCAAAAACAAUAUAAGGAAUACAAUAUUAGAGAUCACAGAAUUAUGUUUCAGUGACUUCUCCUUCAAAGACCCUCCAGAUACACACCCGUAUUGAAUUUAUCUCAGAUUCCCAAGGCCUCGUAGGAGCCUUUGGACAAAGAAUAUUUUCCAGGGGGUUUUUAGUGUAUGGUAAGUCAAAGGGAAAAAUCCAGAAACCGAAUUUAGUAAUAAAAUUUCCAAAAGAUUCAGAAAGAUCUCACCUAGCGAGUUGUAAAAACUCGAUAUCCUUUAUCCUGCUUAAAAGCAGUUCCAAAGAUUUUCAGAUCUGGAACAGAUUAGUGCCUUCCUUCCAAGAUCUAGGUAUCUUGUCUCUAGUUUAGUGCUCUGAUACCACUGAAAAGCCCAAACACAAUAUUAAAC
RNAcentral lists this long non-coding RNA (6059 nucleotides) under Olea europaea subsp. europaea. Lineage: Eukaryota; Viridiplantae; Streptophyta; Magnoliopsida; Lamiales; Oleaceae. The record is from RNAcentral.